This is a long non-coding RNA of Mytilus trossulus (common blue mussel), 1293 nucleotides long. RefSeq lists it as uncharacterized. The record is from RefSeq and is a predicted model, not a curated record. Lineage: Eukaryota; Metazoa; Mollusca; Bivalvia; Mytilida; Mytilidae. The transcript has 3 exons.
AUCGUAACUUUUUUUUAUCUUUGUAUAAUAAAUAUAACAAAAUGGAUUCCACAAAAUUGAAAAUAGCAUUAUUUUACGAGGAUUUCUCAUAUUUUUCUCACUUCCGGCGCAGUAAUACGUAUGUUUCGAAGAAGCUCGAAGAAUUUGACAAAGUGAAUUGAGAAGGAAACGGAUAGAUUUACGUCCUUGCUAUCAGGGCACAAACCCACUUUAAAGACACUUGUCUACUGCCAUACCCAUCCUAAUUUCAUGCACCAUUUGCAAGCAAGAGACUGAAUGGUUUGCAAAAUUAAAAAUCAGGACGGUGUCCAAUUAAAACAAAAGAACUAAACUGGAUGAAUAUUGUAGGAGAAAUCUAGAGGAAAGUCAUUCAUCCUAGCCUGCAGAAAGGAACUAUAACUGUCCACCACCAACUGACGAGCUAAUGUUGAGCUUCACAUAUGGAAUUAAUCAAAUACCAUCAAUGUUUGUGUUUUCAGCACAGAUUUCACAAGUUAUGACACAGCUGUGUUUUUUUAUACCUGUUUAUAGAGUUGUAUACCAAAUUUUAUUUUUUUUAUCAAUAAAUAUAUAUUGUGUCAUUUAAGAACUUGUAUUUUGCCAAAAGAUGCAUACUAGUGAAUGAAAGUGGUGCAGAUCAUUUUGCUUUGGUAUAUAGAAUUGAAUUACAAUUGUUCAUGUUAUUGGAAUGCUUAUAAAAAUAAGGAGAUGUGGUACAAUGUAUAUGAUAUUUAGUGAGUUAAUCAAGCAAAAGUGAAUAAGAAAUUGGUAUAAGCAGUUACAGGUACAUGUACUACUGUACAAUCUCAAACAAUGAGAAAAACUCAUACCGUAAAGAGAAUUUCAUAUUUACUUACAAGUAAGUUUUGUUUUUGCGUUGAAUAAUUUUCUUCUAUUGUUUUAAUUGCAAAUAUUGGAAGUGGUUAAAAUGCUAAUGAGACAGCUGUUAUGGCCACAGAGCCUUAAUUGAAAACUUCUUUUUCAUUCAUACCAGUAGAUUUUGCCUGGAGUUAGAAACAUAUCUGCCAACUUUUCAAAAUGCACAUGGGGGUUUUACAUGAAAGAUGGUUCAUAUAGUCAUACAUAACCUUCAAGGGGGCCUUCAAAUGGAAGCAGGACAAGUCGCCCCACUGGCUAAUCGCCCCACUUUUUAAAAAAACGCCACAAACUGAUUUAUCAAAUCGCCCCACAUGUGAAAUUGGUUAAAUCAUGUUUAAUAUUACUCCUGCCAACUUGCCCUACUUAUAAAAAAACGGUAAUAUUUAGAUUAAUAAUAUAUAUAUAAUUAAAAAU